RNAcentral lists this ribosomal RNA (291 nucleotides) under Triticum aestivum (bread wheat). Its description in RNAcentral is "partial small subunit ribosomal RNA". The record is from RNAcentral. Lineage: Eukaryota; Viridiplantae; Streptophyta; Magnoliopsida; Poales; Poaceae.
GAUGCUUUUGGUAAGAUUUACCACCUGAAUGGCAUGGGUUUCCAAAAACUCAAUGAAGUGCUUGUCACCCUCCUCCCGAAGAAGCCCGAUGCUGCCACUCUCACGGACUAUCGGCUAAUCAGCCUUAUUCACCUUCUGGCCAAGCUCUUUGCCAAGGUGUUGUCACUCAGGCUCGCUCCCCGCCUUCGGGCCAUGUUGUCGUCCAACCAGAGUGCGUUCAUUGGAGGCCGUUGCAUCCACGACAAUUUCAUUCUUGUCCAGCAGACCGCCCGUCAAUUGCAUAUAGCAUGA